CGGANGAAAAGNAACCNACAGGGAUUGCCCUAGUAACGGCGAGUGAAGCGGCAACAGCUCAAAUUUGAAAUCUGGCUCUCGGGCCCGAGUUGUAAUUUGUAGAGGAUACUUUUGAUGCGGUGCCUUCCGAGUUCCCUGGAACGGGACGCCAUAGAGGGUGAGAGCCCCGUCUGGUUGGAUGCCAAAUCUCUGUAAAGUUCCUUCGACGAGUCGAGUAGUUUGGGAAUGCUGCUCUAAAUGGGAGGUAUAUGUCUUCUAAAGCUAAAUACCGGCCAGAGACCGAUAGCGCACAAGUAGAGUGAUCGAAAGAUGAAAAGCACUUUGAAAAGAGAGUUAAAAAGUACGUGAAAUUGUUGAAAGGGAAGCGUUUAUGACCAGACUUGGGCUUGGUUAAUCAUCUGGGGUUCUCCCCAGUGCACUUUUCCAGUCCAGGCCAGCAUCAGUUUUCGCCGGGGGAUAAAGACUUCGGGAAUGUGGCUCUCUUCGGGGAGUGUUAUAGCCCGUUGUGUAAUACCCUGGCGGGGACUGAGGUUCGCGCAUCUGCAAGGAUGCUGGCGUAAUGGUCAUCAACGACCCGUCUUGAAACACGGACCAAGGAGUCGUCUUCGUAUGCGAGUGUUCGGGUGUCAAACCCCUACGCGUAAUGAAAGUGAACGCAGGUGAGAGCUUCGGCGCAUCAUCGACCGAUCCUGAUGUUCUCGGAUGGAUUUGAGUAAGAGCAUACGGGGCCGGACCCGAAAGAAGGNGAACUAUGCCUGUAUAGGGUGAAGCCAGAGGAAACUCUGGUGGAGGCUCGCAGCGGUUCUGACGUGCAAAUCGAUCGUCAAAUAUGGGCAUGGGGGCGAAAGACUAAUCGANCNNNCUAGU
RNAcentral lists this ribosomal RNA (867 nucleotides) under Fusarium verticillioides. Its description in RNAcentral is "LSU rRNA". It matches the Rfam family "Eukaryotic large subunit ribosomal RNA", at positions 51 to 948 of the family's 3401-position model. The record is from RNAcentral. Lineage: Eukaryota; Fungi; Ascomycota; Sordariomycetes; Hypocreales; Nectriaceae.